UUCGGGGUGAGUGGCAGACGGGUGAGUAACGCGUGGGAACGUGCCCUUCAGUUCGGGAUAACCCAGGGAAACUUGGGCUAAUACCGGAUAAGCCCUUACGGGGAAAGAUUUAUCGCCAAAGGAUCGGCCCGCGUCUGAUUAGCUAGUUGGUGGGGUAAUGGCCCACCAAGGCUACGAUCAGUAGCUGGUCUGAGAGGAUGAUCAGCCACACUGGGACUGAGACACGGCCCAGACUCCUACGGGAGGCAGCAGUUAGGAAUCUUGGACAAUGGGCGCAAGCCUGACGACGCAACGCCGCGUGGAGGACGAAGAUUUUCGGA
Molecule: ribosomal RNA, 320 nt
Filed under: uncultured bacterium
Lineage: Bacteria
Description: bacterial SSU rRNA
Rfam family: Bacterial small subunit ribosomal RNA
Source: RNAcentral